UUCGAAACAUUGAAAGGAGUCUGAGGAAACCAUUGGGGGGAUGCUUGAUUUUUCGACAUCUUGUUCUCUACUAUUGUCAUGAAAAAGGCCUGCUCCAUUUUUCUCUUAGAAGUUAAAAUCAUCUCUUUUUUACAAGAUCAUGAUAGGAACGCAGAACAAUGAGUAAAUAUUUUUCUUCUUGGGUACAAAUGGAUUUUGUCGUUGAAUUGUCUCCUUUUAUUGUAUUUUCCAUAUUGCUUUAUUCACUAAUUCAAUAUCUAAUUUAGAAUAAUGGUUGAGUUUAUUUUAAUUCGCUCCCCCCUUGCAGACAAAAUCCCUAGCGAAAUGAAGUUCGCUCAGCAAACGCAAUCACGGAGUGAAUCGAAGUGAAGGAAACGUCUGAUCGCGAAUCGAAGUGAAGGCCAGCCUGACCGCGAGCGAAGUGAAGGCCUGUCAGUGAGCGAAACCACGAGCGAAGUGAAGGCCUGUCAGCGAGUGAAAUCGCAAGUUGAAGACCGGUCAUUGACCGCGAGCGAGCCCUGGCGGCGAUCGACCGAGCAAGAGUGACUGGAAGAGAGCAAGCGAGCGAGAGCAAAAAGUGGGGAGCGAGCGAGGUCACCCCAAAUCAGCUGCACUCCACGCCUUGCCUCCAGAUCAGAUCUCCUCCCUAACCUCUUUUUUAACUGAAUCAUCGAAUGACCUCGGCUCCACGCUUGACUACAAGCGAGCGAACACCCAGUGACCGCGAACGAGAUCCUUCUGCGAGCAAUAGUUCACCCACCUCCCGCAGGAUCACGUCCACUUCCGACGAGCGACAGAUACAACUAUCAGAAGAUAGGAGGAAAUCUCGCUAUUGGUUUUCGACCUACAAGUCGAGAACUUGCACGCUAUAUCUAUUCCAUAUAUCUUAUCUACUUUUAGUUGUUUAGUUAAUUGGUUUGUAAUCUCUUUAUUUUCUAUUUAAUCUAAAUCGUC
RNAcentral lists this long non-coding RNA (954 nucleotides) under Zostera marina. RNAcentral describes it as "long non-coding RNA (ZMAR_LNC002134)". The record is from RNAcentral. Lineage: Eukaryota; Viridiplantae; Streptophyta; Magnoliopsida; Alismatales; Zosteraceae.